CCUACGGGAGGCUGCAGUCGAGAAUCAUUCACAAUGGGGGAAACCCUGAUGGUGCGACGCCGCGUGGGGGAAUGAAGGUCUUUGGAUUGUAAACCUCUGUCAUGUGGGAGCAAAUUAAAAAGAUAGUACCACAAGAGAAAGAGACGGCUAACGCUGUGCCAGCAGCCGCGGUAAUACAGAGGUCUCAAGCGUUGUUCGGAAUCACUGGGCGUAAAGUGUGCGUAGGCUGUUUCGUAAGUCGUGUGUGAAAGGCGCGGGCUCAACCCGCGGACGGCACAUGAUACUGGGAGACUAGAGUAAUGGAGGGGGAUGCGGAAUUCGUGGUGUAGCAGUGAAAUGCGUAGAUAUCGAGAGGAACACUGGUGGCGAAGGCGGGUUCCUGGACAGUAACUGACGCUGAAGCACGAAGGCGAGGGGAGCGAAAGGGAUUAGAUACCCUAGUAGUC
This 446-nucleotide ribosomal RNA is filed under the name uncultured bacterium. RNAcentral describes it as "partial 16S ribosomal RNA". It matches the Rfam family "Bacterial small subunit ribosomal RNA", at positions 338 to 795 of the family's 1533-position model. The record is from RNAcentral.